This is a long non-coding RNA of Zingiber officinale, 772 nucleotides long. RefSeq lists it as uncharacterized. The transcript has 2 exons. The record is from RefSeq and is a predicted model, not a curated record. NCBI's taxonomy places the organism in Eukaryota, Viridiplantae, Streptophyta, Magnoliopsida, Zingiberales, Zingiberaceae.
UUAACUUAAGCUCGCUUAGCAUGCUAGACAAAAUGGUGGACCGCAAUCUAAUGCUAAAACUACUAGCUUUGUGUCAUCAUUUAUCACCAUAUGAAAAGUAGUGGUGGCAUUAUGGACUUGUGUGGUCUUCUCUUGUCUUUCAUUCAAGCAAACAAGUGCAGCACAUGAUCAUGAUGCUGAUGUCCUAACUACCUGUCGGCCACCAGCUUCAGAACACUAACACAUGCUCAUGGAGACGGAAGCUUCACUUGGAAAGGGGGAGAGAACAAGCUAAGAGAUCUUCAGCUAAAUUCUCUUGUGCAAUAUAAUUCCACCGUCAACUAGUUUUUACAAACAAACUCUUCAAGAUCUCUCUUCCUCAAGCAUGGGAAAGUUUUGCUGCAGCAGCAUGUCAGAGGAUCAAAAUGGAGGGAGUGGCAUAGACCUGAUGGGAAUUCUGGUGCUGAGAAUCAGAUCUGGAUCGAGGAGCCGCAUCUGCUAGCUUCAAGAUCUUCGAAGAAGUUAAUGGCUAGCUAGCUCUUUGUUCUUGGAUGUGCACAAUUAGAAUAUGUUGCUAUAUCCCUUGUUAAAUAAUUGUAAUUCUCUCAGCUGUUUAAGUAUUUUUAAUUCUUGUGUAUGUUAAGUAGCACUGCACUUAUACAAUUCAUGCCGAAGUAGAUCUGGUGGAUGGAACAAGAAGCCAGAAUUAUCGAUGUUUGCAUAUUCUACCUUUCUUUUAAAGUUAAGUUGCGUUGUUUUUUAAGCUCUAAUUAAGUGCUAGUUUCUGUUUUCA